This 253-nucleotide ribosomal RNA is filed under the name uncultured bacterium. RNAcentral describes it as "partial 16S ribosomal RNA". It matches the Rfam family "Bacterial small subunit ribosomal RNA", at positions 524 to 776 of the family's 1533-position model. The record is from RNAcentral.
UACGUAGGGUCCGAGCGUUAUCCGGAAUUAUUGGGCGUAAAGAGCUCGUAGGCGGUUUGUCGCGUCUGCUGUGAAAACCCGAGGCUCAACCUCGGGCCUGCAGUGGGUACGGGCAGACUAGAGUGCGGUAGGGGAGAUUGGAAUUCCUGGUGUAGCGGUGGAAUGCGCAGAUAUCAGGAGGAACACCGAUGGCGAAGGCAGAUCUCUGGGCCGUAACUGACGCUGAGGAGCGAAAGCGUGGGGAGCGAACAGG